GAUGAACGCUAGCGGCAGGCUUAAUACAUGCAAGUCAAGGGGUAGCAAUACAACCGGCGCACGGGUGAGUAACGCGUACACAACAUACCAUAUACUGGAGUAUAGCUUUGGGAAACUGAAGGUAAUCCUCCAUAACAUUGCGAGAGGGCAUCUGAUUGCAAUUAAAGUUUCGGCGGUAUAUGAUUGGUGUGCGUUUGAUUAGCUAGUUGGUAGGGUAACGGCCUACCAAGGCGACGAUCAAUAGCUGGCGUGAGAGCGCGACCAGCCACACUGGAACUGAGACACGGUCCAGACUCCUACGGGAGGCAGCAGUAGGGAAUAUUGGACAAUGGAGGAAACUCUGAUCCAGCCAUGCCGCGUGAUAGAUGAAGGCCCUCUGGGUUGUAAAUAUCUUUUAUCUGGGAAGAAACACUCCUAUUCUUAGGAACUUGACGGUACCAGAGGAAUAAGCACCGGCUAACUCCGUGCCAGCAGCCGCGGUAAAGUAUCG
RNAcentral lists this ribosomal RNA (490 nucleotides) under uncultured bacterium. RNAcentral describes it as "bacterial SSU rRNA". It matches the Rfam family "Bacterial small subunit ribosomal RNA", at positions 28 to 528 of the family's 1533-position model. The record is from RNAcentral.